GAGAGAGGGAGGGAGGGGGUGAGCUCAGAGCCCCAGUCUCAGUCUCUAUUGUGAGAAAAACGAGCAAGAUUUCUGCAGCGACACACAAACCAUCGUUGAGUCGAUUAAAUCGUACCCAAAUCAGGGAGAAAAGAAAAGAAAAGACAUGGAGGAGGACAUGGACGAGGGACAGAGCCAGAAAGGAUGUAUGGAGUGCUGUCUGAAGUGUCUGCGUGGGAUCCCAUACCCAUCUCUGAUCGCCACCAUCCUGCUCUAUGCGGGCGUGGCUCUGUUCUGUGGGUGUGGUCAUGAGGCUCUCUCCGGCACUGUCUUAAUCCUACAGAACUACUUUGAAGUGAUCAGGUCUCCUACAGACUCGCUGGACGUCUUCACCAUCAUUGACAUCAUCAAAUACGUGAUCUACGGCAUCGCCUCGGCUUUCUUCGUCUAUGGGAUCCUGCUGAUGGUCGAGGGCUUUUUUACAAGUGGAGCCAUUAAAGAUCUGUAUGGAGAUUUUAAGAUCACUGCCUGCGGUCGCUGCGUUAGUGCAUGGUUCAUCAUGCUGACGUAUAUUUUCAUGCUGGCCUGGCUCGGAGUGACGGCUUUCACCGCUUUACCCGUUUUCGUCUACUUCAACAUCUGGACUAUUUGCCAAAACACCACUCUACUGGAGGGAGUGAGUCUGUGUCUGGACCCACGCCAAUUCGGUGUUGUGACUAUCGGGGAGGAGAAGUCGGUGUGUUCAGGAUCCGAGAAAUUCUUCAAAAUGUGUUUAUCUAAAGAGCUGGAUAUGACCUUUCACCUGUUUGUGUGUGCGCUGGCUGGAGCUGGAGCUGCUGUCAUCGCCAUGAUCCACUACCUGAUGGUUCUGUCGGCUAACUGGGCCUAUGUGAAGGACGCCUGUAAGAUGCAGAAAUACGAAGACUGCAAGUCCAAAGAGGAGCAGGAGCUGCACGACAUCCACUCCACACGCUCCAAAGAGCGACUCAACGCCUACACAUAAAGCAGGAAGUAGCACAGGAAGGGGCAGAGCCUCAGGCACUGGCUGGUGCCAUCCAAUGACCAAUGAUGAUAGUUACAGGUAAGUAGACCAUAAUUUUUUUUUUUCCUUUUUAAGUUUUUUUUUGUAUAUAGCCAUUCUGUAAAUGUCCACAUACUGUAUGGAAGCACAUCAGUUUCAGGUGAAUUAAUAUACAACAACAUUCCGUGUUACGGGGAAAUAAAGGGAGAUGGGGGAGGAGGGGGAGGGGUGGUGUUCAAAGGAAAAAAAGAAAGAACAAAAGAAAAAAAAAGAUGAAUUUCGUGUUUGUGGAGUUUUUAAAGCGAGGCAUGACGACAAGAUCAAAUACUCAGAUGAUGUAAUAAUCACAGAUGUACAGAUUAGAGCCCGAGAUAGAUGACACGAGUAAAAAUCCAUCAGUACUCACUGUUCAAAAGUAAGUGCCCCCCCACACUUUUUUUUUCAUAUGUUAGAGAACAGACAGAAAAAGAUCUGCAAAUAUUUUUUAGUGAAUAAAUCAUUCUGAAGAGAAAAUCUGCUCGUUAACGUAAUGUUAACACUUUCAGUAACACUAAUGACCUGUAACUCGAAAAUGAUGAAAAAUUGUACACCGAGGCCCACGCAUCAGUGUUACAGUGACACAUAAAGCAUUGACAUUUUCUUUCUUUCUUUCUUUUCUUUUUUUUGAUCUGAACUCAAUGCUGUACAUCUGUAGAACUUUGUCAGAAAAGUUGUCGACUCUUGUUCGCUCAUGUUUACAGAGAAAACUGUCCAGUGGGAAUGUUCAUGAUUCUUUGAGUCACGAUAAUGACAUAUCUUCUAAAAAAAACAAAGAAAAAUUGUAAGCAGAUGUGCAGAAAAUCUCUGAAAAUUAAAUUCAUCUGGAUUUGUUUUUUUUUUUUUUUUGGAAAAACACUUCACUUGACUGUGCAUCAAAAUGACAUCGUUGUCAUUUGAGUGAUUUCUGAAAACAACAUUGGGUGUUCAUGGAGUUUGUUUAUUUUUAAAUUUUAAGGAAAAAAUGUCUAAUUGAGCGAUAUCUUAAUUAACUUUGUUGAAUAAAUUGUCUAAUCUCGAAUGCUAAUCUAGCUAGGUCAUGUUUCUCAGAUGCACAGAAAAUAUAUAUAUUUUUUAAUUUCUGCAUUUGGAAAUAUAAAAAUCUCACCUCGCACUAACGUGUAUCAGUGACAUCGUCGUCUUUUUAUUUGAGUUCUAAAAUAUAAUUUGUGUCUUUUUUGUUUUAUGAACUUUAUUUUUAAUUCACACUUUGUUAAAUAAGUUCUCAACUCAAUGAUGCUUUUAUAACACUGAUGACAAAAUGAAAUCGCACACUGAUGCAGGUAAAUUUGUUGCGGAUUAAAUUGCAUCUUGGUUUUGCAUUGUUCAGGAGAAAAACAGUCUGUGCAUGUCGAAUGACCUCAUCCCCUAUCCCAAGCUCUGAUGUGUGCAUCUCCGAUACCAUGAUGAUAUUAUUCCCUGACAGUCACAUGACCGUUAUCUUGCUGAAAGUCGUUACAGUCCGGGAUGACGAAGGUGUGAGAUCAUCAUCCUUUCAUUUGCUCUGUUGGUGUUUGAGAGUUUUUCGUGCACUUUUGCGCCCAUUAUCGUGAGCUCGUUCUCAGUGUAAGUGCAUUGGGAUCUUUCUCCGGAUCCCCAUAAUGAUGUUAGGUGAAGACUGUGAACCUCGGUGUUAAGUGUGGCAUGGUUCAUGCAUUUAAUGGUUACUCAUUUUUAACAGAUCCAAAAAAUGAAUAAAAAAAGUUUCUUUUUCUGAGUUGGUAAAGUUGCGAGUGUGUCCCUGGCUCAUUCGCUUCUCUCCUGAUGUGCAGUGAUCGAAUCCUCUUCCUUUCUGCUGCUUUGCUCUCGAUGGUAGUGUUUGAUUUGUUUGUAAGUGUGUUUAGUUCGUGGUGAAGUCCCUCUCUCUCUCUCUCUCUCUCUCUCUCUCUCUCUCUCUCUCCUUGCACUCAUCUUUUGUACACUCCCUGAAGAAUGCGUAGUAGCCCACGCUGUACCAUGACUCUGUUUUGUACAUAAAUGUGCCGCCCGCUUGACAGUGGCUUUUCUGAUAUGCUUGCGUGAAAUAAAAUAAAUACCCUGGUGUAUUUGGGAAUAAA
Molecule: RNA transcript, 3093 nt
Organism: Neoarius graeffei (lesser salmon catfish)
Lineage: Eukaryota; Metazoa; Chordata; Actinopteri; Siluriformes; Ariidae
Gene: gpm6aa
Gene name: glycoprotein M6Aa
Exons: 8
Source: RefSeq, a predicted model, not a curated record